This 287-nucleotide ribosomal RNA is filed under the name uncultured bacterium. Its description in RNAcentral is "partial 16S ribosomal RNA". It matches the Rfam family "Bacterial small subunit ribosomal RNA", at positions 773 to 1060 of the family's 1533-position model. The record is from RNAcentral.
GUGGAUUAGAUACCCUGGUAGUCCACACCCUAAACGAUGAACACUAGGUGUGGGUGGGAAAACCAUCCGUGCCGAAGCCAACGCGUUAAGUGUUCCGCCUGGGGACUAUGAGCGCAAGCUUAAAACUCAAAGGAAUUGACGGGGGCCCGCACAAGCAGCGGAGCGUGCGGUUCAAUUCGAUGCGACACGAAGAACCUUACCAGGGUUUGACAUGGAUGUGGUAGGGAAGGGAAACCGGACCGACUCGCAAGAGAGCAUACACAGGUGAUGCAUGGCCGUCGCCAGCU